CGCCCCGCUCCGGUUUCUGCCAGGCUUUCUCGGAAACACCGCCUAAGCGCUUCCAGCCCAAACUACUCGGGCUGGGCGGAGGGCGUGAGAGAGGGAGCGGGAGCCCGAGAGGCACCCUGGGAUCUCUCUCUAGUUGGGGAAGCGGGAGCGGGGUCCUCGGCUGCUCGGCGGCGGUUCGGCCGGACCCCGCUGCGGGCUCCGAGCUGGAGCAGGCGGCGGAGGCCUCGGCGGGAAAGGCUCGAGGAACAUUCGAAUGCUCUAUCCCCGGUUUGCCACCUUUGGCUCAGUCCGAGUGCAAUUCGGAGUUUGUUCUGCUCUAAACCGGGAGUUUCGGAGGGCGGGCGGGGGUGGGGGUUCUUGACAGCCUGCAAAGCCGAGCGGCCGGAAGACGGUGGUGCUGGGAGCAGAGCGCCACGCCUCCCGUCCCCGCCGCGGGAGACCCGGGAGUCUCGACCGGCCGGCGCCGGGAAGCGCGAGGAGACGGGCCACGGCUACCAGGGGUGAAGAGUCUCCACACACUCAAGAAAGCAUAUUUUUCCAUACGUUGACAAAGA
Molecule: long non-coding RNA, 554 nt
Filed under: Dasypus novemcinctus (nine-banded armadillo)
Lineage: Eukaryota; Metazoa; Chordata; Mammalia; Cingulata; Dasypodidae
Description: lncRNA (ENSDNOG00000052141.1)
Source: RNAcentral